GCCGUAUCGAUUCGAUCGGGAUACUCAUCAAAUUACAUUGAAAACUGAGUCGUCUUUCUGCCAAUGGCGGGCCACAUCUCCUCGGAGAAGUUGUAAAACCGGUGGAUUACAAAGGCAAAGAGCGCUCUUCAUCUUCUAAAAAAGGAGUUUUCAUCACAUCCUCGAUGCGGCCCUUUU
Molecule: small RNA, 177 nt
Filed under: uncultured Prevotella sp.
Lineage: Bacteria; Pseudomonadati; Bacteroidota; Bacteroidia; Bacteroidales; Prevotellaceae
Description: Bacteroidales-1 6S-Bacteroidales RNA suggested
Rfam family: Bacteroidales-1 6S-Bacteroidales RNA suggested
Source: RNAcentral